GACGAACGCUGGCGGCGUGCUUAACACAUGCAAGUCGAGGGGGUUCGUGGGGCAACUCACGGAUCACCGGCGAACGGGUGCGUAACACGUGAGCGACCUGCCGUACCUGUGGGGGAUAGCCGGCCCAACGGCCGGGUAAUACCGCAUACGCUUGUCUUGGGGCAUCCUGGGACAAAGAAAGCUCUGGGGGCAACCCUGGGGCGCAGGACGAGGGGCUCGCGGCCUAUCAGCUAGUUGGCGGGGAACGGCCCACCAAGGCGGUGACGGGUAGCUGGUCUGAGAGGAUGGCCAGCCACAUUGGGACUGAGAGACGGCCCAGACUCCUACGGGAGGCAGCAGUGGGGAAUCUUGGACAAUGGGGGAAACCCUGAUCCAGCGAUGCCGCGUGAGCGAAGAAGGCCUUAGGGUUGUAAAGCUCUUUCGCCCGCGACGAUAAUGACGGUAGCGGGAGAAGAAGCCCCGGCUAACUCCGUGCCAGCCGCCGCGGUAAC
RNAcentral lists this ribosomal RNA (491 nucleotides) under uncultured bacterium. Its description in RNAcentral is "partial 16S ribosomal RNA". It matches the Rfam family "Bacterial small subunit ribosomal RNA", at positions 28 to 524 of the family's 1533-position model. The record is from RNAcentral.